UAUUGAUCAUGAAAUAUGUUUAAGAGAGCAGCAACAGACUGAAAGUGUCUGUGGUGAGACUGGUCAUGGGUUUCCAACUGCAGUAGCUGAUGAUCAUCUUGUCAACAUGGUUCUAGCAUUCAAAACGACCAUCACUUUUAGACACUACAGAUAUGCAAGAUCGAAAUUUGUGUCAAUCAAUCAGAAGGAACACUAAUCGGAGACUGGAACAAUUAUCCAACGGUGGCGAUCAACGGUUCCAUCAUCAAUGGGCAUCCAAUUUUGGGGCAAGAUCAAUGUGGAGACUCCUUCCAUGAAGAGUCUCGGGUAGGAUAAAAAGAUAAAUAGUUUGUCCUUAUAUUUUCAAGACUCUUGUUGUGGUUUUCCUUUAUUAAUUUAAGUAGAUUAUUAUCCUCAAGUCUCAUUUUAAGUACAUGUCAAGCAGGAAAGUUACCUAGUUAAUUGGAGCUGUACUUCAAAAUAGUUUUAAUGCCUUCUUAUAUAGGAGUUUGAUUUUUUGUUAUGAGCUUGCACAAGGGGCUAGAUAUAAAAAUAAACCUAUCAAAGAGAUGAGUUUUUUCUUGAAAUCAAU
This 571-nucleotide long non-coding RNA is filed under the name Phoenix dactylifera (date palm). RNAcentral's name for it is "long non-coding RNA (PDAC_LNC005703)". Lineage: Eukaryota; Viridiplantae; Streptophyta; Magnoliopsida; Arecales; Arecaceae. The record is from RNAcentral.